UAGUUUUUCAUAUUACACUAAGUUGUGCUUUGAAAAUUCUAGGUAAUUUAAAUUCUGUCUUUUCUGAAGUGUACUUAAAAUAUGGUCUGCCCAUGAAGGGCAGGACCUGUGAGGGUACAGAAUAUUCUGGCAAGGUUGCUACUCAGCCAUUGCGCCACACUAUCAUUGAUCUGAUGGACUCGUAGAACUAUUAACAUAUGUAUGUAAGCAGUGGCACUUGGACAUCUUCUUCACCCAGUUUCUCCUUGCAGGUCAUUACUGAACAAAUGUGCUGUGACAGAUGCUGCUUGGGGAGAAAGGCCUGUUUGAUGUGCACCAUGGAGGAUUUGUGUUCCUAUGCUAGGAGACUCUCCUUCUCAGGUAUGAAGCGGAAAUUUACAGAUGUCUACAAAAUAUUGGAGGCAUCUUUUUACAACACAUUGUGAAUUU
RNAcentral lists this long non-coding RNA (429 nucleotides) under Chrysemys picta bellii (western painted turtle). Its description in RNAcentral is "lncRNA (ENSCPBG00000027542.1)". The record is from RNAcentral. Lineage: Eukaryota; Metazoa; Chordata; Testudines; Emydidae.